Molecule: long non-coding RNA, 4585 nt
Organism: Anolis carolinensis (green anole)
Lineage: Eukaryota; Metazoa; Chordata; Lepidosauria; Squamata; Anolidae
Exons: 2
Source: RefSeq, a predicted model, not a curated record
AUGGCUCUGGUUGGGAGAAAGGCAGCGCUGACGUCACUUCCCCACCGCGCUGAAGGAGAGGGUGCUUUGCGCAUGCGUAAGGAGAGGCGACAGGAGGUUGAGUGGGAAGAAAGAGAGUUGGCAGAAACUGGAGCUAACAGCAAGAGCUCACCCUGCUCCCCGGGUUCAAACCGUCGACCUUUUGGUCAGCAAGUUCAGCAGCUCAGCAGGUUAAUCCACUGCACCACCGGGGGGGACUCCUGCCUGUAUAUAUAAUGUAUCAUACAAAUGUAGCAAGAAAUCUGUGAAAUAAAUCCAAAGCACAAUUAUUACUUUCAUGGUGCAUCAGUAUUUUUGCAUGGGAAAAAAAUAAUCAGACGUAACAGGUGGCAGGAUAUUUUUGUAUCUUCUCACCAAAUACAUGCCAUGAAGUUGGACACUUAAGUUACUCUGAAUUUGAUGCAGAUUCCUUUGGUGCUCCUUUGGGAGAGAUAAAGCAUGGGAUAAAUAAAUAUAAUAAUAAUAAUAUCAAUUUGUUCUUUUAUUUUCCUCCUUCGUGGAUGCCAUGUUCCUUGGAAGCUUGUUCAGACCAACUACUUCCAUCACACUAGAGCAUCUGUCCACUUUAAAUCCAAAUGCUGCCUCCUGCAGAUUUCUGGAGCUUGUAGUUUAGGGAGGGGUCUUUAAAUUGCUCAGCCAGAGAAGUCCUAGGCCUCACUAAACUACAAACCCCAGGAAUCUGCAGGAGGCAGCAACUAGACUUAAAGGGAUAGAUACUCUGGUGUGAUGAAGUCCCAAGUUAGUGGCCUUUUAGGCUUCUUCCAUAUGAAGAGGAAGGAGCUCACUUUUUGAAUCAUAAGAAUAAUAUGUCAUGGGGGUAUCAUGAUUUUGGUGAUGCUUGAGGAGGGGCAGGGCCAAAAAAAAAGAUUGGGAACCACUGCUCUAGAUAUUAAGGGAUGACAACUCUCAGCAUCCCAUCCCAACAUAGGCUAUGGUGACAGAUGAUGGAAUUCAAUGUCUAACUAUAUCUGGACAGCCACAGAUUCCUAGUAUUUAUAUAAUAGCCAGAAGUCAUUUUAAAAUGGUCACAAGCUUCGAGGGAUUAAUAGUGUGAGCACUGGACUACGACUCUAAACCAGGUCUUAAAUCCUUGCUCAGCCAUGGAAACUUUGGGCAAGUCACAGACCUAACCUCAGAUAAAGUUAAUAGCAAAUCUCUUCUGAAUAUAUCUUGCCAAGAAAACCCAAACCAUUGGUCAGAAUUGGCUGCUUUCAAUUGUCUCCUUUUUGUCCAAAAUGCUUGAAGGGAAUGAUGCCUUGAUACUAAACAGGAUGAACCAGAGAAACUGUGAUGUCCUCAAUAGAAAUACCUGGCCACUAGUCUCUCGGUCAUUUAAAUAUAAAUAUGCUACUUCUCAUGUAACUUUUUCAUGUGCCAAAUGCACCAGAUUCAGUAAAACAGAAUCAGGCUGUAUUAGUACUUGGAUGGGGGACAGCUAUAGAAUACAAGGUGCUAUAAGAUGAACUUUAAAGAAGGAAGAUGUCAGACCACAUCCGAAGAUUUCUUGCCUCUGAACACUCUAUGAAAUCAGUAGGAUUGUCUAAAGUUGAUACUCUACUUGAAAACACAUACAAUUUUUUCAGCCUUCACAGACAACAGGUCCUGAAAGAAUGACAAAACCCCACUGCCAUCUGCUGGACUCUUUGCAUUAUUACUUUUUACAUACAUUUUACUGUAUUUUUAACAGAAAGAUGCAGUCAGUUUUUUAAAGCCCAUCCUCUAGCCAGACAACCAAAGACAUAAGGAGUUGAAGGAAUGAAUACCCAGCCACACAGGUUCCAAAGAAUUAUAACACCACUUUACAAUGAAAUAGUAUCCCAGCAUCUAUAGCAAUAUGAAAAUCAUGAAAUAAAAAACUAGUCCUCCUCUGUUAGAUUAACUCAAUUCAUCUUUAGCCCUUCUUAGCUUUCCUCUGGAGUAUUUCAUACUCCAGUUUGUCCAGGUGAAGUUUUAUUCUGUUUUUUAAAAUCUCUGUAGCCUCCAGUUGAUUUUCACUGCAGAAGAACAAGUGGCAAAUAUGGCACCUAUUCUGUCCAACUGCAGGGCAGAGGAAGGCAAUAAAAGCUAAACAAUCCAUUUCAUCUACUCUGUCCAGAUGUCAGUGCAUCUGGCUCUGUCCAAAUGACACCUAGCCAGCAGCCUUUUCAUCGGGCUAUCAAUACUAUGUCCAUCCUACAACAUCAGUGUAACUACCCAAACUCCCUCCUAUUGAUCCAGCCUCUUUUCCUUUUAUGUCAUAUAUCUUUACUGCCUACUCUUCCAUUUUCCUCUCUCUUUGGCUGAGUUAUCUGAAUGCAAUUGAAUGCCUUUCAGUUUGUUGCAACUGAAGCAACCUGAGAACAAAGGAGGGAAGUGGAAGGAAGAGAAAGCAACUAGGACAUUUAAAAAGCAGCUGGAAAAUGCUAGACAUGAUGAGUCAGGACUGUCUGCCAAUCUAGGACAGUUAGGAGGGAUAUGAUUGCAAUCCCAAAGAUAAUGGAGGCUGUCUUACCACAAAUUUUUGGAACUCACAGUGGAUGGUUAAAUACUUUAAAAUUGGAUUUGGUGCAGAAAUAUGUUACUGCAAUAAGAAAAUCUUUACUGGUAGUAAAUGAUGUGACAGAUGGCCUACAGCAAUAAAGCAUUGCAGCUCUUUAACAAAUAGAUGUAUCUAUAUAAACAAAAAAGUAUUGCUUACUGACAGAGAGCAGAGGGGCAACUGAGCUUCCCAAGAGAGGGAAUCCUAUAGUCUCAGAGCAGCUGCCAAGAAGGCUGACUUCCAAAUGCAAGAGUGACAGUGAUGGAAUCAAGAAAAUGCCCUCCCCAAAGAUCUUAAAACUCAGACAUACUCAUUUAGGGAAAUGCAGUCUUUCAGGCAAUCUGAAUCCAAGCUAUGUAGGUCUUUAGAGAUCAUAACCAGGCUAUAGAAAGCUCCUUGCUAGUCUGGAUGGUUGUGGUGAUUUCGGUUAUGUGUAUUCACAUUGUUUCUGACUUAUGGCAGUGGUUUCUGAAGCUGAGAGUGUGUAACUUGCCUAAGCUGGACAGGGGGAGUGUGACCCUGCUGGUUCUCUUGGACAUCUCAGCGGCUUUCGAUACCAUCGACCAUGGUAUCCUUCUGGGGCGGCUCUCUGGGAUGGGCCUUGGGGGUACUGCACUGCAGUGGCUCCAGUCCUUUCUGGAGGGUCGUUCCCAGUUGGUGAAGCUAGGGGACACCUGCUCGGACCCCUGGCCAUUGACCUGUGUGGUCCCGCAAGGUUCUAUUUUGUCCCCCAUGCUUUUUAACAUCUACAUGAAACCGCUGGGAGAGGUCAUCCGGAGUUUUGGAGUGCGGUGCCAUCUCUACGCGGAUGACACCCAACUCUACUACUCUUUUCCACCUAAAUCCAAGGAAGCCCCUCGGAUUCUGGACCAAUGUCUGGCCGCUGUGUUGGCCUAGAUGAGGGUGAACAAACUGAGACUUUAUCCCGACAAGACAGAGGUCCUCCAGGUCAGUCGUACGUCUGAUCGGGGUAUUGGGUGGCAACCUGUGCUUGACGGGGUCGCACUCCCCCUGAAGGCGCAGGUCCGCAGCUUGGGGGUCCUCCUGGAUUCGGGGCUGACGCUUGAGGCUCAGGUGUCGGCCGUGGCCGGGAGGGCCUUUGCACAAUUAAAACUUGUGCGCCAGCUGCGACCAUACCUUGAGAAGUCUGAUCUGACCAUGGUGGUCCAUGCCUUAGUUACCUCUAGACUGGACUAUUGCAAUGCGCUCUACGUGGGGCUGCCUUUGAAGACGGCCCGGAAAUUACAACUAGUACAGCGUUCGGCAGCCAGGCUUCUAACUGGAGCGAAUUACAGGGCGCGUUCUACGCCUCUGUUUAAGGAGCUCCACUGGCUGCCGUUUAUUUUCCGGACCCAAUUCAAGGUGCAGGUUAUCACCUACAAAGCCCUAAACGGUUUGGGACCUACCUACCUUAGAGACCGCAUCUCCCCCUAUGAACCCGCACGUUCUCUCCGCUCGUCGGGGGAGGCCCUUCUCUCGCUCCCACCACCCUCGCAGUUGCAGUUGGUGGGGACGAGAGAGAGGGCCUUCUCCGUCGUGGCCCCCCGGCUUUGGAACUCGCUCCCUAGAGAGAUCAGGCAGGCCCCUACCCUCCUCUCCUUCCAUAGGAGCUUAAAAACCUGGCUCUUUCAAAAGGCCUUUGGCAAUUAAUUUGUUGUCGGACUGAUCUAUCUGCCCAUUUUAUAAUAGCCCCAUUCUCAAGGUGUUGCCAAUGUUAUAUUGCAUUUUGUCCAUUUCUACUGUGAAAUUACCUUCCCCAUUUCGGCCCAUUCUGCACUUUGCCUGGGUUCAAUGAAUUAGUCUCCUGUAUUAAUAUUGUGUGUUUUAUGUCGAUUUUAACGAUUGUUUUUACUGUAAUUGAUGUUUUUAUUGGAUAAUUGUUUUAUUGCUGUGUUUUAAUAUUUGAUUGUUUUAUCGGGCAAGGCCCCAUGUAAGCCGCCCUGAGUCCCUUCGGGGAGAUGGGGCGGGGUAUAAAAAUAAAGUUAUUAUUAUUAUAUUAUUAUUAAAUUCACCCAGUGGCAAAGCGGA